Molecule: non-coding RNA, 1367 nt
Organism: Odocoileus virginianus texanus
Lineage: Eukaryota; Metazoa; Chordata; Mammalia; Artiodactyla; Cervidae
Source: RefSeq, a predicted model, not a curated record
GGAAUCCCAUGGACGGAGGAGUCUGGGGUCACAGAGAGUCAGACACGACUGAACAGCAACCACCCAUCUCUGUAUCCACCACGCGGAGAACCAGAGUUAGCUGCACACUGCAGGCGCACAGUCAGGGUCUUUGGGAUGGAAUUGCAACCAUGUCACUUGAAUAGUCUUUGAAAAAAAAAGCCCAGAGGAGAGUGGAAGUGGAUCUGCCCGCACCACAGAAGCUGCUGCCCCGACUCCUGGUACUGAUAUCAUCCCCCUACAAGGGGGAGGGCUGCGGAAUCACCGUGCUCAACCUUCUGAAGACCCUGAGCCAGAGCAUCGCCCCCUCCAUGGCCAACAUGUGGGAGCCUGGAGGCCGACAAGGUGGAGGUGCUGCUGGUGGAGCUGCUCUACAAGACGGACUACAGAGACGACUUCGAUUGGGAGGGUGUGAUCCUGUGCUUUGGCCUGUGUGCCCGGGGCCAGGUGAAGACGGUGCUGGGCAUGCUCCAUGACUUUGAAGAGAGGAUCCAGGAGUCGGAGCAGUCCUGGCAGAUCGGUGCCUGGCGGAAGGACCAUCCCUGGAGGCGGGAGACAGUGAAGGGCGCGCUCAUGGUGAUGUACAGCCGCGUGGCCUCGUGCUGCCACCCGCAGAUGCUUCUCACCCACGUGGACAACCCCAUCACUGCAAGAUCAUCCACCACUAUUCGAGCAGCUGCCAGGCAACCCCGGGAGCCCACAGACACGCCGUGCCCUGAUGAUGCCCUCCUUGAGCCCCGGGCUGGGGGGGGGAGUCACCCUGCAUGGUUAUCUGGGCACUGCCAGUCCCACCCUGUGCCCUGAUGAUGCCCUCCUGGAGCCUUGGGCUGGGGCGGGGAGAGUCACCCUGCAUGGUUAUUUGGGCACUGCCAGCCCCACCCAGGAGAUUCGAGUCCUGGAGUCCCGUCUGCCACUCAGCAUUUGGGAAUCCCAUUGCCCCAGGCUCUGCUGCUCUCUGCUGCACGGGCUGGGGGUGGGGGGUCGGCAGUGGGGAGCAGCCCUUCCCUGAUACACCAAGUAGGGGUCUUUGUGGUUGAAGUCACAGGACAAGCCCUUGCCCAGCCCUUCACACAUACCUUCUCUCACCUCUGCCCCGAUCCUGACACCUGACCCCAAGCCCUUUCUGAGGGUCAAGAAAGGGGCUGUCUUCAGAAAGGCAAAGGACUGGCUGCUUUCUUGGAAAGGCCAGGAGGAGAAAACUCAGGGAAUAAAGGAGAAAUGACUUUAUCAUUACUGUUUUGAAAACUGGUGAAGUACACAUGACAUGAAAUUUGUCAUCACAACCACUUUUAAGCACGCAGUUGGCAUUCAGUUCAGUUCAGUCGCUCAGUCAUGUCCAACUCUUUGUG